UGUAAACUGCAACAAAAUAAUAUGAUAAAAGUGAUAUCAAAAUAAUACAAUUAAACUUAAAUUUUACGCACAAAAUUUCUCAAAGCCGAUCGAGAUUCAUCUACAAACUGUAAACUACCACAAAAUAACAAACUAAUAGAGAUAUUACAAUAAUAUAAUUAAACCUAACUUUUACCUAAAAAUAAAUUCAAAACCGACCCACAUUCAUCUAGCAUUUGUAAAUUAAAAUAAAAUGAUAAGAUAAUA
This 246-nucleotide long non-coding RNA is filed under the name Capsicum annuum. RNAcentral's name for it is "long non-coding RNA (CANN_LNC007963)". The record is from RNAcentral. Lineage: Eukaryota; Viridiplantae; Streptophyta; Magnoliopsida; Solanales; Solanaceae.